GCAUAUCAAUAAGCGGAGGAAAAGAAACUAACAAGGAUUCCCCUAGUAACUGCGAGUGAAGCGGGAAAAGCUCAAAUUUAAAAUCUGAGGGUCUUUGUGGCCUUCCGAGUUGUAAUCUAGAGAAGUGUUAUCCAUUCUGGACCGUGU
RNAcentral lists this ribosomal RNA (147 nucleotides) under Tricholoma fulvocastaneum. RNAcentral's name for it is "partial 28S rRNA". It matches the Rfam family "Eukaryotic large subunit ribosomal RNA", at positions 38 to 180 of the family's 3401-position model. Lineage: Eukaryota; Fungi; Basidiomycota; Agaricomycetes; Agaricales; Tricholomataceae. The record is from RNAcentral.